This 494-nucleotide ribosomal RNA is filed under the name uncultured bacterium. RNAcentral describes it as "partial 16S ribosomal RNA". It matches the Rfam family "Bacterial small subunit ribosomal RNA", at positions 28 to 507 of the family's 1533-position model. The record is from RNAcentral.
GACGAACGCUGGCGGCGUGCUUAACACAUGCAAGUCGAACGGUGAAGCGCCUUCCUUUUUGGUGGGUGUGGAUGAGUGGCGAACGGGUGAGUAACACGUGAGUAACCUGCCCCCUUCUUCUGGAUAACCGCAUGAAAGUGUGGCUAAUACGGGAUAUUCUGGGUCUGUCGCAUGAUGGGUCUGGGAAAGAUAUUGUUUCGGUGGGGGAUGGGCUCGCGGCCUAUCAGCUUGUUGGUGGGGGGAUGGCCUACCAAGGCGGUGACGGGUAGCCGGCCUGAGAGGGUGGACGGUCACACUGGGACUGAGACGCGGCCCAGACUCCUACGGGGGGCAGCAGUGGGGAAUAUUGCACAGUGGGCGCCAGCCUGAUGCAGCGACGCCGCGUGAGGGAUGGAGGCCUUCGGGUUGUGAACCUCUUUCGCCAGUGAAGCAGGCCUGCCUCGUUUGUGGGUGGGUUGACGGUAGCUGGAUAAGAAGCGCCGGCUAACUACGUG